This 406-nucleotide ribosomal RNA is filed under the name uncultured bacterium. Its description in RNAcentral is "partial 16S ribosomal RNA". It matches the Rfam family "Bacterial small subunit ribosomal RNA", at positions 360 to 773 of the family's 1533-position model. The record is from RNAcentral.
AAUAUUGCGCAAUGGAGGGAACUCUGACGCAGCGACGCCGCGUGAGCGAUGAAGGCUNNNGGAUCNUCACGCUCUGUCCUUCGNGAANAAGGUCUUCGGACUUGACGGCACCUAAGGAGGAAGCCCCGUCUAACUACGUGCCAGCAGCCGCGGUAAUACGUAGGGGGCAAGCGUUGUCCGGAAUUUUUGGGCGUAAAGGGUGCGUAGGCGGACUUUUAAGUCAGGUGUGAAAGCCCACGGCUUAACCGUGGGAUUGCAUUUGAAACUGGAAGGCUUGAGUAUCGGAGAGGGUAGUGGAAUUCCCAGUGUAGCGGUGGAAUGCGUAGAUAUUGGGAGGAACACCAGUGGCGAAGGCGACUACCUGGACGAAAACUGACGCUGAGGCACGAAAGCUAGGGGAGCAAAC